UGGGGUAUAUUGGACAAUGGGCGAAAGCCUGAUCCAGCCAUGCUGCGUGUGUGAAGAAGGCCUUCGGAUUGUAAAGCACUUUAAGUUGGGAGGAAGGGCAGUAAGCGAAUACCUUGCUGUUUUGACGUUACCGACAGAAUAAGCACCGGCUAACUCUGUGCCAGCAGCCGCGGUAAUACAGAGGGUGCAAGCGCUUAUCGGAAUUACUGGGCGUAAAGCGCGCGUAGGUGGUUCGUUAAGUGGAAUGUGAAAGCCCCGGGCUCAACCUGGGAACUGCAUCCAGAACUGGCGAGCUAGAGUAGGGCAGAGGGUGGUGGAAUUUCCUGUGUAGCGGUGAAAUGCGUAGAUAUAGGAAGGAACCCCAGUGGCGAAGGCGACCACCUGGGCUCAUACUGACACUGAGGUGCGAAAGCGUGGGGAGCAAACAGG
Molecule: ribosomal RNA, 429 nt
Filed under: Pseudomonadota bacterium
Lineage: Bacteria; Pseudomonadati; Pseudomonadota
Description: Proteobacteria bacterium partial 16S ribosomal RNA
Rfam family: Bacterial small subunit ribosomal RNA
Source: RNAcentral